UGCCCUAGUAACGGCGAGUGAAGCGGCAACAGCUCAAAUUUGAAAUCUGGCUCUCGGGCCCGAGUUGUAAUUUGUAGAGGAUACUUUUGAUGCGGUGCCUUCCGAGUUCCCUGGAACGGGACGCCAUAGAGGGUGAGAGCCCCGUCUGGUUGGAUGCCAAAUCUCUGUAAAGUUCCUUCAACGAGUCGAGUAGUUUGGGAAUGCUGCUCUAAAUGGGAGGUAUAUGUCUUCUAAAGCUAAAUACCGGCCAGAGACCGAUAGCGCACAAGUAGAGUGAUCGAAAGAUGAAAAGCACUUUGAAAAGAGAGUUAAAAAGUACGUGAAAUUGUUGAAAGGGAAGCGUUUAUGACCAGACUUGGGCUUGGUUAAUCAUCUGGGGUUCUCCCCAGUGCACUUUUCCAGUCCAGGCCAGCAUCAGUUUUCCCCGGGGGAUAAAGGCGGCGGGAAUGUGGCUCUCUUCGGGGAGUGUUAUAGCCCACCGUGUAAUACCCUGGGGGGGACUGAGGUUCGCGCAUCUGCAAGGAUGCUGGCGUAAUGGUCAUCAACGACCCGUCUUGAAACACGGACCAAGGAGUCGUCUUCGUAUGCGAGUGUUCGGGUGUCAAACCCCUACGCGUAAUGAAAGUGAACGCAGGUGAGAGCUUCGGCGCAUCAUCGACCGAUCCUGAUGUUCUCGGAUGGAUUUGAGUAAGAGCAUACGGGGCCGGACCCGAAAGAAGGUGAACUAUGCCUGUAUAGGGUGAAGCCAGAGGAAACUCUGGUGGAGGCUCGCAGCGGUUCUGACGUGCAAAUCGAUCGUCAAAUAUGGGCAU
Molecule: ribosomal RNA, 812 nt
Filed under: Fusarium oxysporum
Lineage: Eukaryota; Fungi; Ascomycota; Sordariomycetes; Hypocreales; Nectriaceae
Description: eukaryotic LSU rRNA
Rfam family: Eukaryotic large subunit ribosomal RNA
Source: RNAcentral